GCAACCUCCACCUCCCAGGUGUCAAGCGAUUCUACUGCCUCAGCCUUCCGAGUAGGUGGGAUUACAGGCACCCACCACUACGCCUGGCUAAUUUUUGUAUUUUUGGUAGAGAUGGGGUUUCACCAUAUUGGCCAGGCUGGUCUCAAACUCCUGAAUUUGUGAUCCACCCCCCUCAGCCUCUCAAAGUGCUGGGAUUACAGGUGUGAGCCACUGCGCCUGGCCAAUAUUUUCCUUUACAGUAGUUUUUUUUCCAGCUGAUUUCAAGUUCAAUAAAGGCUGUUUAGUUCAGUGCAGUAUGCGACGUAGAAGGCUUGCAAAAUCAAAAUCACAAAAAAAGCAAAAAAGGAAAUGUAAGCAAGUGAGAUGGUCAGUGAAAUACUUCUCAUUAUUUUUCACAGCAGCACUUUAUUGGGAAUUAAUAAACCCUUGUUGCAGCAUUUAUGGAAAACAUUAUGGAGAUUCCUCAAAAAAUCAACAAUAGAUUUACUAUAUGAUCUAGCAAUCCCAUUUCAGGGACUAUAUGCAAAGUAAAUAAAAUCACUAUCUCAAAGAGAUGUCUGGUCUCCCAUUUUCACUGCAGCAUUAUUCACAAUAUUCAAGAUAUGGAAACAACCUAAGUGACCAUCAACAGACAAACGGAUAAAGAGAAUGUGGUAUAUACAUAAAAUGGAAUAUUAUUUAGCCUUUAAAAGAAGGAAGUCCUGUCAUUUGUGACAACAUGGAUGAACCUGGAGGAUAUUAUGUUAAAUGAAAUAAGCGAGACACAGAAAGACAAAUACUGUAUGAUCUUACAUGUGGAAUCUAAGAAAGUUCAACUCACAGAAACGGAGACUUUCACUCUUGUUACCCAGACUGGAAUGCAAUGGCAUGAUCUCAGCUCACUGCAACCUCCAUCUCCCAGGUUCAAGUGAUUCCCCUGCCACAGCCUCCCAAGUAGCUGGGAUUACAGACAUGUGCCACCACGAUCGGCUAAUUUUGUAUUAUUAGUACAGAUGGGGUUUCUCCAUGUUGGCCAGGCUGGUCUUAAACUUCUGACUUCAGAUGAUUCGCCCGCCUCAGCCUCUGAAAGUGCUGGGAUUACAGGCGUGAGCCACUGCAUCCGGCCAAUUUUCUAAUAUUUUUAACUUUACUGUUUCUUUUGCAUCACACAAGUUUUAAAUUUUGGUCAAGUUUAUCAGCAUUUUCCUUUGCAGUUUGUACUUUGUUUGGUGUUAGGAAUAUUUUCUCAUUUUUAUUCUAAAACUAAAAGAAUUUCGAAGAUUUGCUUCUCAUACUUGGGAUUAUAAUUCACCUAGAAAUAAAUUUUGUGUUGAUGUAAAAUGGAUCUAAUUUUUUUUAACAGUUAACAACUGUGUUAACACAAUUUAUUACAUAUUUAACUCUUUCCCUACUGAUCUGUAACACUGCAUCAGAUAUUUGCAGUUUCCAUAAACACACAUGUGCCUCAUUUGUAGACUCAGCUUCAUUAAUCUGCCUGGCCCUGCACUUAAAGCCAUGUGGUAUAACUGUUACAGUUUUAUGGGAAGUAGGGCAAUUCCUGCUUUAUUUUUCUUUAAAAUUCUAUUGGUUUUUCUUAGUCACUUAUUCUUCUAUAUAAAUCUUAAUAUUGACUUAUCAAGGAUUAUACUAUACCCUAUUAACAUUUUAUUUUAUUUUUUGAGACAGGGCCUCACUCUGUUGCCCAGGCUGGAGUACAGUGGUGAGAUCACAGUUCGCUGCAUUCUACACCUGCUAGGCUCAAGCGAUUCUGCCAUCUUGAGUAGCUGAAAUACAGUCACAUGCCUCCAUGCCUGGUUAAUUUUUUUGUAUUAUUUUAGCAACAGGGUUUCACCAUAUUUCUCAGAACCCCUGGGCUCAAGUGAUCCUCCCACCUUGGCCUCCCAAUGUGCUGGAAAUACCAGCAUACCCACCACACCUGGCCCCAAUUGGAAUUUUAAUUAAAACUACAUUUAUAGAUUAAUUUGGGGAGAACUGACAUUUUAUAAAAUUGAAUCUUCUCAAGAAGGCUAACAUGUUCCAUUUAUCUAAAUUUUCUCUUAGAUCUUUCAAUAAAGACCUCAGAAAUCA
Non-coding RNA from Callithrix jacchus (white-tufted-ear marmoset), 2067 nucleotides. Lineage: Eukaryota; Metazoa; Chordata; Mammalia; Primates; Cebidae. The record is from RefSeq and is a predicted model, not a curated record.